AGGCUCUACCACAUGGCUGUGCCAGUAGUUUAGGAAUUAUACAUAAAGGUGAUCGAAUUCAAGCAGUAGAUGGUCAUAAUGUAAUGAACCUGCAAUAUUCAUAUGCUUUACAAUUGCUACAAAACGCCGGCUCUAGCAUGGAGUUGGUUCUAGCGCAGAAAAACCGUGGACAAAAAGUAGUUCAACAUUCAAAUGAAUUCAACUAUACUCCUUGCGAAACAAUAGGUAUUGACUUGUUAGCUGCUAUUGUUCAGAAGCCAAUUGAAGAGUCGUAUCUUCGAGUAAUCAGAUUUGAAACUGAGACCGAAACAGAUGAAAAACUCAUAAAUAUAACUCUGCCAAGAAAUAGCAAUAGGAAAGUCAAAGAACUUCCAAUCGAAGAAAUUAAAAGCUUGUAUCUCUAGCUGCUUGUGUAGAGCAGUUUGGAACUUGGACUUUGUGCCUCCAAAAUUGAAUUCGUGAUUUAGAGGUGGAUUUUUCGGUGCAAAAACAAUAAACUAUUACGCCUAACGGCAUGGUGUUCGAAGUGCAAGAAAGUCUGCGGACAGUUUUAGAGUGGAUUGAACAUUUCUAAAGUUUUAGAUUAUCCAUUGAAAUUAUUAUUGUAUAACAUAUCAGCUAAUGAUUUAUAAUUUUUUAUAUCAAGACAAAUGGGUAGAGGCUAUUUAUCACAGAGAAACUAUUCAACUCUCGACAAUGAGAAGAAAUUUGGAGUUUAGGGCCCAAUGUCAAUAAUAAUCUGCAAGUGUUGUCUUAGUUGAAUAAUAUAAUUAUUAUGAAUAUGUACAUAUUUAAAAGCUGAUAAUAACUAUGUGCCUAAAUAAAAGGGAAUGAAUACAGUCUUUAAAAUCCGCUUGGAAUAUAUUUCAUACUAGUAGAACGAUGUGAGAAUUAUGUUGAAUAGUAAAGAAUGAUGAUAAUCUUAAUAGCCAGAGAGAAGUGUUCUUGUGAAGGUUUUUAAUAUUAUUGUACAAACCAACAGUUCUCUAAUGAUAUCAACUACAUGCAAAUAAUAUCAUAACAGUCAUUGUUAGUGAUAGUAAGACAAUAAAAUGAUGAAUCUUGGGCCACAGUUGAUGAUUCUGAUAUUUUUUCUUUUAAAAAUAUUAAAUAAAUAUUACAUCUAAACGGUAUAAACACUAAUGAUAACGUAGGCCUACAAGAGAGCAUUAUUAAUAAUUUGUUGUUUGUCAUGAAUAUUAUGUGUGCAAGACUGCAAGAUUACUGGAUUAUAUACUGGAAUCGCAACAAUAAAAUGUUCGUCAGUUUUCAUCCAAUGGAAUA
Nilaparvata lugens (brown planthopper) is the source of this 1284-nucleotide long non-coding RNA. RefSeq lists it as uncharacterized. NCBI's taxonomy places the organism in Eukaryota, Metazoa, Arthropoda, Insecta, Hemiptera, Delphacidae. The transcript is spliced from 4 exons. The record is from RefSeq and is a predicted model, not a curated record.